Molecule: ribosomal RNA, 253 nt
Filed under: uncultured bacterium
Lineage: Bacteria
Description: partial 16S ribosomal RNA
Rfam family: Bacterial small subunit ribosomal RNA
Source: RNAcentral
UACGUAGGGUGCAAGCGUUAAUCGGAAUUACUGGGCGUAAAGCGUGCGCAGGCGGUUUGCUAAGACCGAUGUGAAAUCCCCGGGCUUAACCUGGGAACUGCAUUGGUGACUGGCAAGCUAGAGUGUGGCAGAGGGGGGUAGAAUUCCACGUGUAGCAGUGAAAUGCGUAGAGAUGUGGAGGAAUACCGAUGGCGAAGGCAGCCCCCUGGGCCAACACUGACGCUCAUGCACGAAAGCGUGGGGAGCAGACAGG